GAUGAACGCUGGCGGCGUGCCUAAUACAUGCAAGUCGAGCGAACAGACGAGGAGCUUGCUUCUCUGACGUUAGCGGCGGACGGGUGAGUAACACGUGGAUAACCUACCUAUAAGACUGGGAUAACUUCGGGAAACCGGAGCUAAUACCGGAUAAUAUAUUGAACCGCAUGGUUCAAUAGUGAAAGACGGUUUUGCUGUCACUUAUAGAUGGAUCCGCGCUGCAUUAGCUAGUUGGUAAGGUAACGGCUUACCAAGGCAACGAUGCAUAGCCGACCUGAGAGGGUGAUCGGCCACACUGGAACUGAGACACGGUCCAGACUCCUACGGGAGGCAGCAGUAGGGAAUCUUCCGCAAAGGGCGAAAGCCUGACGGAGCAACGCCGCGUGAGUGAUGAAGGUCUUCGGAUCGUAAAACUCUGUUAUUAGGGAAGAACAUAUGUGUAAGUAACUGUGCACGUCUUGACGGUACCUAAUCAGAAAGCCACGGCUAACUACGUG
RNAcentral lists this ribosomal RNA (497 nucleotides) under uncultured bacterium. RNAcentral describes it as "partial 16S ribosomal RNA". It matches the Rfam family "Bacterial small subunit ribosomal RNA", at positions 28 to 507 of the family's 1533-position model. The record is from RNAcentral.